RNAcentral lists this ribosomal RNA (505 nucleotides) under uncultured bacterium. RNAcentral describes it as "partial 16S ribosomal RNA". It matches the Rfam family "Bacterial small subunit ribosomal RNA", at positions 28 to 507 of the family's 1533-position model. The record is from RNAcentral.
GACGAACGCUGGCGGCGUGCCUAAUACAUGCAAGUAGAACGCACAGUUUAUACCGUAGCUUGCUACACCAUAGACUGUGAGUUGCGAACGGGUGAGUAACGCGUAGGUAACCUGCCUGGUAGCGGGGGAUAACUAUUGGAAACGAUAGCUAAUACCGCAUAAUAUUAAUUAUUGCAUGAUAAUUAAUUGAAAGGUGCAAUUGCACCACUACCAGAUGGACCUGCGUUGUAUUAGCUAGUAGGUGAGGUAACGGCUCACCUAGGCGACGAUACAUAGCCGACCUGAGAGGGUGAUCGGCCACACUGGGACUGAGACACGGCCCAGACUCCUACGGGAGGCAGCAGUAGGGAAUCUUCGGCAAUGGACGAAAGGCUGAACGAGCAACGCCGCGUGAGUGAAGAAGGUUUUCGGAUCGUAAAGCUCUGUUGUAAGAGAAGAACGGGUGUGAGAGUGGAAAGUUCACACUGUGACGGUAUCUUACCAGAAAGGGACGGCUAACUACGUG